GAUUCGUCACACUAUCAUUAACUGAAUCCAUAGGUUAAUGAGGCGAACCGGGGGAACUGAAACAUCUAAGUACCCCGAGGAAAAGAAAUCAACCGAGAUUCCCCCAGUAGCGGCGAGCGAACGGGGAGGAGCCCAGAGCCUGAAUCAGCAUGUGUGUUAGUGGAAGCGUCUGGAAAGGCGCGCGAUACAGGGUGACAGCCCCGUACACAAAAGCGCAUGUGCUGUGAGCUCGAUGAGUAGGGCGGGACACGUGGUAUCCUGUCUGAAUAUGGGGGGACCAUCCUCCAAGGCUAAAUACUCCUGACUGACCGAUAGUGAACCAGUACCGUGAGGGAAAGGCGAAAAGAACCCCGGCGAGGGGAGUGAAAAAGAACCUGAAACCGUGUACGUACAAGCAGUGGGAGCACCCUUCGGGGUGUGACUGCGUACCUUUUGUAUAAUGGGUCAGCGACUUAUAUUCUGUAGCAAGGUUAACCGUAUAGGGGAGCCGGAGGGAAACCGAGUCUUAAUUGGGCGUUAAGUUGCAGGGUAUAGACCCGAAACCCGGUGAUCUAGCCAUGGGCAGGUUGAAGGUUGGGUAACACUAACUGGAGGACCGAACCGACUAAUGUUGAAAAAUUAGCGGAUGACCUGUGGCUGGGGGUGAAAGGCCAAUCAAACCGGGAGAUAGCUGGUUCUCCCCGAAAGCUAUUUAGGUAGCGCCUCGUGAAUUCAUCUCCGGGGGUAGAGCACUGUUUCGGCUAGGGGGCCAUCCCGGCUUACCAACCCGAUGCAAACUGCGAAUACCGGAGAAUGUUAUCACGGGAGACACACGGCGGGUGCUAACGUCCGUCGUGAAGAGGGAAACAACCCAGACCGCCAGCUAAGGUCCCAAAGUCAUGGUUAAGUGGGAAACGAUGUGGGAAGGCCCAGACAGCCAGGAUGUUGGCUUAGAAGCAGCCAUCAUUUAAAGAAAGCGUAAUAGCUCACUGGUCGAGUCGGCCUGCGCGGAAGAUGUAACGGGGCUAAACCAUGCACCGAAGCUGCGGCAGCGAACGUAUCACCCAAGACAACUUUACGGAGUUGACGAUUGACGGAGCGAAGCGACGUCAAAGCGUUCAUUAAAGUCGAGUUGGCUUAGGGAUACGUU
RNAcentral lists this ribosomal RNA (1129 nucleotides) under Salmonella enterica subsp. enterica serovar Typhimurium. Its description in RNAcentral is "partial 23S ribosomal RNA". It matches the Rfam family "Bacterial large subunit ribosomal RNA", at positions 137 to 1298 of the family's 2925-position model. Lineage: Bacteria; Pseudomonadati; Pseudomonadota; Gammaproteobacteria; Enterobacterales; Enterobacteriaceae. The record is from RNAcentral.